CCUUCGAUAGCUCAGUUGGAAGAGCGUGGGACUGUAACUGGUUACUUGCGAUCAUCCCAAGGUCACUGGUUCGACCCCGGUUCGAAGGA
This 89-nucleotide transfer RNA is filed under the name Crucibulum laeve. It matches the Rfam family "tRNA". Rfam says of the family: Transfer RNA (tRNA) molecules are approximately 80 nucleotides in length. Their secondary structure includes four short double-helical elements and three loops (D, anti-codon, and T loops). The record is from Rfam by way of RNAcentral. Lineage: Eukaryota; Fungi; Basidiomycota; Agaricomycetes; Agaricales; Nidulariaceae.